This 254-nucleotide ribosomal RNA is filed under the name uncultured bacterium. RNAcentral describes it as "partial 16S ribosomal RNA". It matches the Rfam family "Bacterial small subunit ribosomal RNA", at positions 524 to 776 of the family's 1533-position model. The record is from RNAcentral.
UACGGGGGGAGCAAGCGUUGUUCGGAUUUACUGGGCGUAAAGGGCGCGUAGGCGGUCAGCACAAGUCAGUUGUGAAAUCUCCGGGCUUAACUCGGAAAGGUCAACUGAUACUGUGCGACUAGAGUGCGGAAUGGGCAACUGGAAUUCUCGGUGUAGCGGUGAAAUGCGUAGAUAUUGCUCGGAAGGCCGGAGCCGAAGGGGCCCUACUGGUACGUAACUGACGCUGAGGCACGAAAGCGUGGGGAGCAAACAGG